RNAcentral lists this ribosomal RNA (466 nucleotides) under uncultured bacterium. RNAcentral's name for it is "partial 16S ribosomal RNA". It matches the Rfam family "Bacterial small subunit ribosomal RNA", at positions 28 to 507 of the family's 1533-position model. The record is from RNAcentral.
GACGAACGCUGGCGGCGUGCUUAACACAUGCAAGUCGAACGGAAAGGCCUCUUUCGGGGGGUACUCGCGUGGCGAACGGGUGAGUAACACGUGAGUGACCUGCCCCUGACUUUGGGAUAAAUUCUGGGAACAGGGGGUAAUACCCGGUAUGAGCUCCUGCUCCUUGGGGGGGGUGGGAGAGUUUCUGCGGUUGUGGGUGGGGUCUCGGCUUAUCAGGUUUUUGGUGGGGGAGUGGCUUACCACGGGUUUGUGGGGGAUCCGGCCUGAGAGGGGGACCGGCCACAUUGGGCCUGAGAUACGGCCCAGACUCCUACGGGAGGCAGCAGUGGGGAUUUUUGCCCAUGGGUCGGAGCCUGAUUCCGGCACGGCCGGGUCGGGGUGAAGGCCCUUGGGUUGUUAACCGCCUUCGCUCAUGACGGAGCCUUGUGUGACGGUAGUGGGUAAAGAAGCACCGGCUAACUACGUG